ACCAACACCAACGAGUGCCCUCUUUGUAGUCAACACAAUCACGUUUCCUCUGCUCACCAAUACCGCCUUAUCUCCAUCAUCAACGUUAUCCUCAACCGAUCUCUCCCUCUUCUCCUCAUCCGUUUCCGUCAGUUCUUUGAUAUACAUAUUCCUCAGUCAAAGAUCUAAAGAUCCAACACACACCAAAAAAAAAAACAAUCUAUUCUCCUGCCAACCGAUGCCCUAAUAAUCAAUCACCAGUCUUAUAUACACAGACACGAUUAUUCACAAUCCUAAUUGAUUCGAAGACAAAGCCAAGAAGAAAGUCUA
Molecule: long non-coding RNA, 309 nt
Organism: Arabidopsis thaliana (thale cress)
Lineage: Eukaryota; Viridiplantae; Streptophyta; Magnoliopsida; Brassicales; Brassicaceae
Product: other RNA
Exons: 1
Source: RefSeq